Lynx canadensis (Canada lynx) is the source of this 551-nucleotide long non-coding RNA. RefSeq lists it as uncharacterized. The record is from RefSeq and is a predicted model, not a curated record. NCBI's taxonomy places the organism in Eukaryota, Metazoa, Chordata, Mammalia, Carnivora, Felidae. The transcript is spliced from 3 exons.
UAGUGGCGGCAGGUCAGGAGGUCUGGAGCUGGGGGCCCGGAACGAUGCAUGGCACACAGUACGAGCUCAGUAGGUACGUGUUGAAUGGGGGCAGUUCCAGAGCAGCGUCUAAUACCGUUGUUAUACCCCAGGAUGUUAUUGCCAUUGAAGGAAGCAUUCCGUAGAUGAGGAGCCUUGACAGCAGAAAGCCAAGUUCUCUUCAAUUGUCCACUAUUGACAAAGACCGCGGUCAAGUUAGGCCAAAAGCCAAAGUGCUCCUCGUUGAAAAAUGCUGUGGAAGAUUAGGCUAAAUACCAGCCACUUUUUCUUAAUCAAGAAACUCAGCUAACAAGUUGGAGCUUUUAAAUGCAGAAGGAAGAGAAGAGAGUAUAGAAAAGAGGUAAGAGGAAGAUCAGAAGAGAGAAGAAACAACUUCACCUCAACUCAAACAACUUCCACUCAACUCAAAACCCCAACUCAAAUGCCGCUCAAAAGGCAUCUCUUUCUUCUAUCUCCCAAUAUCCCUUUCUACAUCUUGACUUACCAGGAUAAAAUUAAAUAUAUUUUAGACA